AGUGAACGCUGGCGGUAGGCCUAACACAUGCAAGUCGAACGGCAGCACAGUAAGAGCUUGCUCUUACGGGUGGCGAGUGGCGGACGGGUGAGGAAUACAUCGGAAUCUACUUUUUCGUGGGGGAUAACGUAGGGAAACUUACGCUAAUACCGCAUACGACCUACGGGUGAAAGCAGGGGAUCUUCGGACCUUGCGCGAUUGAAUGAGCCGAUGUCGGAUUAGCUAGUUGGCGGGGUAAAGGCCCACCAAGGCGACGAUCCGUAGCUGGUCUGAGAGGAUGAUCAGCCACACUGGAACUGAGACACGGUCCAGACUCCUACGGGAGGCAGAAGUGGGGAAUAUUGGACAAUGGGCGCAAGCCUGAUCCAGCCAUACCGCGUGGGUGAAGAAGGCCUGCGGGUGGUAAAGCCCUUUUGUUGGGAAAGAAAAGCAGCAGGUUAAUACCCCGCUGUUCUGACGGUACCCAAAGAAUAAGCACCGGCUAACUUCGU
RNAcentral lists this ribosomal RNA (491 nucleotides) under uncultured bacterium. RNAcentral's name for it is "partial 16S ribosomal RNA". It matches the Rfam family "Bacterial small subunit ribosomal RNA", at positions 29 to 506 of the family's 1533-position model. The record is from RNAcentral.